UGAGCAAUCUGCCCUUCUCAUCGGAAUAAGCGUUGGAAACGACGUCUAAUGCCGAAUACGACCUCCUUUCGCAUGAUCGGAGGUGGAAAGCUCCGGCGGAGAAGGAUGAGCUCGCGGCCUAUCAGCUAGUUGGUGUGGGUAAUGGCCCACAAGGCGACGACGGGUAGCUGGUCUGAGGAGGGUGACCCGGCCACACGUGGGACUGAGACUACGGCCCAGACUCCGUAGGAG
Molecule: ribosomal RNA, 231 nt
Filed under: uncultured bacterium
Lineage: Bacteria
Description: partial 16S ribosomal RNA
Rfam family: Bacterial small subunit ribosomal RNA
Source: RNAcentral